GAUAAAUUCUGUAAAUAUCUUUACGUGAUGUUCCGUUUGUGAAACUGGUAUAUAAGAUGACUGUAGAACUGUUGUACUUCACAAUCCAUUUUCUGGUCCAGUCUGAAGAAGAUUCGCAGUAAAUACAGUAUGAAGGCCUUUCUCAUUGUGGCGUGUGUGGUUGUUUGUGCUGCAGCACUGAACGAUUUUAACGUUCGUGAGAAGAGACAAGCUAAUAAUUACUAUCAGAGAUAUCAGGAAGAACGUCAGGCAUACGCUGACCAACAACGGCAGAUGUACGACGAGCAACAAGCAGCAUAUCAGGAAUAUGAACAACAACAGAGAGAUGACGCCGAGAGACGAUUCGAAGAACAAAUGGAUGCUCGAUACGGUCGAGGUAAACGUGAAGCUGUUGAUAACAACACUGAAACAGACAGUUUAGUCCGACAGAAGAGACAAGCUAAUAAUUACUAUCAAAGAUAUCAGGAAGAACGUCAGGCAUACGCUGACCAGCAACAACAGAUGUACGCUGACCAACAACGACAGAUGUACGACGAGCAACAAGCAGCCUACCAGGAAUAUGAACAACAACAGAGAGAUGACGCCGAGAGACGAUUCGAAGAACAAAUGGAUGCUCGAUAUGGUCGAGGUAAACGUGAAGCUGUCGAUAACACCACUGAAACAGUGUCUACUCAAGUUAACCAGGAUAGUUUAGUACGACAGAAGCGACAAGCGUAUGGUUAUAAUGUAGGAUACGGUGGUUAUGGAGUACCAGCUGAUCCAGCUAUGGUGUAUGCUCAGAGAUUUGGUAGUGGAUACAGUCAGUCAUAUGGUGGUUAUGGUGGGGGAUAUUAUCCUAAUUCACCAUAUGAUGGUAGAAUCUAUGGACGAUAAACACUCAAACUAUUUGUCUCAUCAAAUUGUAAAUAAUAAUUCUCUUAAUAUAUAACUGAAAUAAAUUUUAUUGACAAUG
This is a long non-coding RNA of Patella vulgata (common limpet), 952 nucleotides long. RefSeq lists it as uncharacterized. Lineage: Eukaryota; Metazoa; Mollusca; Gastropoda; Patellidae. The transcript has 2 exons. The record is from RefSeq and is a predicted model, not a curated record.